Molecule: ribosomal RNA, 454 nt
Filed under: uncultured bacterium
Lineage: Bacteria
Description: partial 16S ribosomal RNA
Rfam family: Bacterial small subunit ribosomal RNA
Source: RNAcentral
GAUGAACGCUGACAGAAUGCUUAACACGUGCAAGUCAACUUGAACUUCGGUUUGGGUGGCGGACGGGUGAGUUACGCGUAAAGAACUUGCCUCACAGCUAGGGACAACAUUUGGAAACGAAUGCUAAUACCUGAUAUUAUGAUUAUAUGGCAUCGUAUAAUUAUUAAAGCUAUAUGCGCUGUGAGAGAGCUUUUCGUCCCAUUAGCUAGUUGGAGAGGUAACAGCUCACCAAGGCGAUGAUGGGUAGCCGGCCUGAGAGGGUGAUCGGCCACACGGGGAGUGAGAGACGGACCGUACACAUACGGGAGGGAGGAGGGGGGAAGAUUGAACAAUGGACCGAGAGUAUGAUGCAGCAAUAAUGUGUGGACGAUGAAGAUGUUCGGAAUGUAAAGUGGUUUCAGUUGGGAAGAAAAAAAUGACGGUACCAACAGAAGAAGUGACGGCUAAAUACGUG